RNAcentral lists this ribosomal RNA (629 nucleotides) under Picochlorum sp. RCC944. RNAcentral describes it as "partial Eukaryotic large subunit ribosomal RNA". It matches the Rfam family "Eukaryotic large subunit ribosomal RNA", at positions 67 to 691 of the family's 3401-position model. Lineage: Eukaryota; Viridiplantae; Chlorophyta; Trebouxiophyceae. The record is from RNAcentral.
AACAGGGAUUGCCUCAUUAACGGCGAGUGAAGCGGCAAGAGCUCAAAUUUGAAAGCUGGCUCCUUCGGGGUCCGCAUUGUAAUUUGCAGAGGAUGUUUCGGGAGCAGCCCCCAUCUAAGUGUCCUGGAACGGACCGUCAUAGAGGGUGAGAAUCCCGUUUGUGCUAAGGACGCCCGUGUGCAUUGUGGUACGCUUUCAAAGAGUCGAGUUGUUUGGGAAUGCAGCUCAAAUUGGGUGGUAAAUUCCAUCUAAAGCUAAAUAUUGGCGAGAGACCGAUAGCGAACAAGUACCGUGAGGGAAAGAUGAAAAGCACUUUGGAAAGAGAGUUAACAGUACGUGAAAUUGUUGGAAGGGAAACGCUUGAAGUCAGACUUGCUGUUCGGAGUUCAGCCGCAAGGUGUACUCUCCGAGUUGCAGGCCAGCAUCAGUUUUUCGGGGUGGAAAAUCACGGUUUGAAGGUAGCAGUUUCGGCUGUGUUAUAGCUUUCCGUUGGAUACAUCCUGGGGGACUGAGGAACGCAGUGUGCUUUUAGCGGAGGUUUCGACCUCUUCACACUUAGGAUGCUGGUGGAAUGGCUUUAAACGACCCGUCUUGUAACACGGACCAAGGAGUCUAACAUGCUUGCGAGU